AGAGAAAAAGAGAAAAAGAGAAAAAGAGAAAAGAGAUCCAUCCUAGUGAGGGCACACACAUUUAUGAAUCACCCUGCCUGUGAAACACUGGGAUGACAGUUGAUAGCUGGGUCAGGAUUGGAAACAAGGUUGGACAGCUGAGUGAGUGUGCAUACUUCUCGGCCAUCUUUCCGUGAUGUUAACAAAACGUUUCAUUUUUUUUAUUUUUCUAUUCCAAAGUGAAUGCACAACAAUGAGGGGCCAACGCAGGUGAGUGGCCCCUAAAAAUUGUUCAUGUCGAUCGAUAUCCAGUAUUCAGUGACAGUGCAAGUAUUGUAGAGCACUCGCCAAGUGCCUUAAGCACUCAAACAAAACAGUUAAUCAGGAACGGCUGGCUUGGAAAGCAAUUGGCAAUCACCGAACCAUCAGUUAAACAAACAUCCCGGAGGUGCCUGAAAUAUAAAACCAAGUCCGAAUUAGACAAAUGAACACCUUUUAUUUUUAGCACUCAGAACUGUUGCAGAGUUCAAAUGUGGAGCUUAAAUAUUGUAAUUUGGCUUCGUUUUAGAGAUUCUCGACGUUAUGGCCUUGAAUCUAUCAAAAAUUCCAGCAAUCUCUGGGUGUCUGUCUGUCUGUCUGUGACCGCCGGUCCGAUCUCAUUGAAACUUGCCAGGAAUAUUGCCAGGGACCCGCGGAUGUGCCUUCGAGGUUUGAUAUCGAUUGGACGAGCGGUUCCCAAGUUACAGCCAUUUAUCUGUCGACCACAGGCCUGGCUUACGACGCCAUGUUCGGGGUGUUGGACGAACGCCAGAGAAAGCAGCCAUUUGCCGGAACAACCGAGCGGAAACAUGAAGCUCUCGCAAAACGUUCCCGGGCAAUUAUCACCUCUUUGUUUAGCCCGAUACGAAGAAGAGCCGGUUAGCGUCCGUAGAGCUGCUGAACGAGAUGUCGAUCGCCGAUGGAAAAAGGUCACGAUGGUAGCUGACCGUAGACGAAAACAAGAGGCAACGAGCACCACCAUCUGCAUCAUCAUCGACGUCGACAGAGUUUUCCGACUGAAAAUGAGCUCCAACCGACCGACCGAUCAUCCAUCCAUGUAUUUUUGUGUGCGUGAUAUUUCCAAAACUGUUCCACAUUAAUCUUUCAUAUUGCAGAUAUAUAUUCCUCAUGGCAUUAUCUCAACCUGAUUAGAUCACGGCUGUGAUUGACUAAAUUAUGUUGCCAUGGCAACCAUCUCGAUGAUUUGCCUUGUGUGUACACGCGAUGCAGUAUUUCAAAAACUGUUCAAGAUUUAGCUUUCAUAUUACACAGAUCUAAUCCUCACCCCACUCAAAAAGGUGGAGGAUUGGGGGGGGGGGCAGAGUAUUAGCUGCUUGAUUCUGUUCAUGUUUUUAGCCACAAUACAAGCUUCUCAGUUCAAACUGAAGUGAACUAUAAGGUGUAAAAUAUAUAAUGUAUGAUCUUGGAAAACACCAAACAUGUUGCAGGAGUGUUGCAACGUUAUAAGGAUAUAUAAAACAUUGAGUCUGCAGAUGUAACUUGAACAAGGUUGAAAGGAUGGAUGGGUGUGGAAUGAUGAAAAAAAAACAUAAAACGGGCAAAUACUUUAUCUUGAGGAACAAAAAGAGGAGAAGCCUUUCUAUAAAGACUAAAAAGCAUGAAGAAGAAGUAAACCUAUUCUGAUCUCCUUUGAUAGGAUUAAACUUCAUGGUGUGAGUGGUAAACGGUUUAAUCAAAAUAAUAAAGCAAGACCAUAAUUAUUGCUAAAUAAGCCAAUUUUUGUAUUCCAAACAGAUCACACAGAUGAUCUCUUCAAGACAAAAAUGCAAGGGUUGAUUCUUAUUAAAAAUAAAUAACUUUCAUGUUUCCAUGACUGGUGGGACCUGCAUCUGAACGUCACCUUUCAAGGAGAGCAUGCUCCAUGCUCUGGUACCCUCUACUCUCACUGGAACAAACUUUGGAUUAUCAGACUUCAUUCCUUCCUUCCUUCCUUCCAUAUGAGUGCUGCUUCAUCAUGAUGAAGAUCACGGCACUGUGGUUGCAGGCAUGGAACAGCACUGAUACAACCAUUUAUACCAGUACAUUGGUAUUCAUUUUGCCCACCUUGGAAGGAUGACAGGCUGAGUCAACCCCACCUGUUGUUAAUUCAGUGGCAAACGGGGCUCAAACUCAGGACCCUAACAUCCCAAGCCAGCCACCCUAACCACUAAGCCAACACCGAAUGACAGUAUUCCUCGGGCUGGCAGGAUGGCCUAGUCUCCUGGAGGUACGCACACUCGCCUCUAAGCAGUCUAGCUGGGUUUGAAUCCUGGCCUGGCUAUAAACUGUCAUCCCAGUGUUUCACAGGUAGCGUGAAUCAUCAAUAUGUGUGUACCAUCCUUUGGAUGGAGGUUAAACAGACAUCCCGUCUGCCGGCAUUAGUUAGUGAAUGUUUAAGACCCCAUGGUAUUGUUGUAGAAUUUUGUUGUUAACCGUUUUAACCGACUCGGGGGGGGGGGGGGGGGGGGGGGGGGGGGGGGGGGGGGGGGGGGGGGGGGGGGGGGGGGGGGGGGGGGGG
Long non-coding RNA from Eptatretus burgeri (inshore hagfish), 2536 nucleotides. Lineage: Eukaryota; Metazoa; Chordata; Myxini; Myxiniformes; Myxinidae. The record is from Ensembl.